Molecule: ribosomal RNA, 497 nt
Filed under: uncultured bacterium
Lineage: Bacteria
Description: partial 16S ribosomal RNA
Rfam family: Bacterial small subunit ribosomal RNA
Source: RNAcentral
GAUGAACGCUGGCGGCGUGCCUAAUACAUGCAAGUCGAGCGAACAGACGAGGAGCUUGCUCCUCUGACGUUAGCGGCGGACGGGUGAGUAACACGUGGAUAACCUACCUAUAAGACUGGGAUAACUUCGGGAAACCGGAGCUAAUACCGGAUAAUAUAUUGAACCGCAUGGUUCAAUAGUGAAAGACGGUUUUGCUGUCACUGAUAGAUGGAUCCGCGCCGCAUUAGCUAGUUGGUAAGGUAACGGCUUACCAAGGCAACGAUGCGUAGCCGACCUGAGAGGGUGAUCGGCCACACUGGAACUGAGACACGGUCCAGACUCCUACGGGAGGCAGAAGUAGGGAAUCUUCCGCAAUGGGCGAAAGCUUGACGGAGCAACGCCGCGUGAGUGAUGAAGGUCUUCGGAUCGUAAAACUCUGUUAUUAGGGAAGAACAAAUGUGUAAGUAACUAUGCACGUCUUGACGGUACCUAAUCAGAAAGCCACGGCUAACUACGUG